This 433-nucleotide ribosomal RNA is filed under the name uncultured bacterium. RNAcentral's name for it is "bacterial SSU rRNA". It matches the Rfam family "Bacterial small subunit ribosomal RNA", at positions 957 to 1391 of the family's 1533-position model. The record is from RNAcentral.
GAACGCGAAGAACCUUACCAGGUCUUGACAUCCCUCUGACCUCUCUAGAGAUAGAGAUUUCCUUCGGGACAGAGGUGACAGGUGGUGCAUGGUUGUCGUCAGCUCGUGUCGUGAGAUGUUGGGUUAAGUCCCGCAACGAGCGCAACCCCUAUUGUUAGUUGCCAUCAUUUAGUUGGGCACUCUAGCGAGACUGCCGGUAAUAAACCGGAGGAAGGUGGGGAUGACGUCAAAUCAUCAUGCCCCUUAUGACCUGGGCUACACACGUGCUACAAUGGCUGGUACAACGAGUCGCAAGUCGGUGACGGCAAGCUAAUCUCUUAAAGCCAGUCUCAGUUCGGAUUGUAGGCUGCAACUCGCCUACAUGAAGUCGGAAUCGCUAGUAAUCGCGGAUCAGCACGCCGCGGUGAAUACGUUCCCGGGUCUUGUACACACC